Molecule: ribosomal RNA, 443 nt
Filed under: uncultured bacterium
Lineage: Bacteria
Description: partial 16S ribosomal RNA
Rfam family: Bacterial small subunit ribosomal RNA
Source: RNAcentral
CCUACGGGAGGCUGCAGUGGGGAAUAUUGGGCAAUGGGCGCAAGCCUGACCCAGCAACGCCGCGUGAAGGAAGAAGGCUUUCGGGUUGUAAACUUCUUUUGUCAGGGACGAAGCAAGUGACGGUACCUGACGAAUAAGCCACGGCUAACUACGUGCCAGCAGCCGCGGUAAUACGUAGGUGGCAAGCGUUAUCCGGAUUUACUGGGUGUAAGGGGCGUGUAGGCGGGGAAGCAAGUCAGAUGUGAAAACCACGGGCUCAACCUGUGGCCUGCAUUUGAAACUGUGUUUCUUGAGUGCUGGAGAGGCAGGCGGAAUUCGUGGUGUAGCGGUGAAAUGCGUAGAUAUCAGGAGGAACACCGGUUGCGAAGGCGGCCUGCUGGACUGCGACUGACGUUGAGGCCCGAAAGCGUGGGGAGCAAACAGGAUUAGAUACCCCUGUAGUC